AACGGCAUCCCUAGUAGCGGCGAGCGAGCGGGAAGAGCUCAAAUUUAUAAUCUGGCACCUUCGGUGUCCGAGUUGUAAUCUCUAGAAAUGUUUUCCGCGUUGGACCGCACACAAGUCUGUUGGAAUACAGCGGCAUAGUGGUGAGACCCCCGUAUAUGGUGCGGACGCCCAGCGCUUUGUGAUACAUUUUCGAAGAGUCGAGUUGUUUGGGAAUGCAGCUCAAAUUGGGUGGUAAAUUCCAUCUAAAGCUAAAUAUUGGCGAGAGACCGAUAGCGAACAAGUACCGUGAGGGAAAGAUGAAAAGCACUUUGGAAAGAGAGUUAACAGUACGUGAAAUUGUUGGAAGGGAAACGCUUGAAGUCAGACUUGCUUGCUGAGCAAUCGGUUUGCAGGCCAGCAUCAGUUUUCCGGGAUGGAUAAUGGUAGAGAGAAGGUAGCAGUUUCGGCUGUGUUAUAGCUCUCUGCUGGAUACAUCUUGGGGGACUGAGGAACGCAGUGUGCCUUUGGCGGGGGUUUCGACCUCUUCACACUUAGGAUGCUGGUGGAAUGGCUUUAAACGACCCGUCUUGAACCACCGGACCA
This 582-nucleotide ribosomal RNA is filed under the name Rhodotorula mucilaginosa. RNAcentral's name for it is "eukaryotic LSU rRNA". It matches the Rfam family "Eukaryotic large subunit ribosomal RNA", at positions 67 to 668 of the family's 3401-position model. The record is from RNAcentral. Lineage: Eukaryota; Fungi; Basidiomycota; Microbotryomycetes; Sporidiobolales; Sporidiobolaceae.